AUCCAGCUGACGAGUCCCGGAUAGGAUUAAAUGCGUGUCCUGGAU
Schistosoma haematobium is the source of this 45-nucleotide non-coding RNA. NCBI's taxonomy places the organism in Eukaryota, Metazoa, Platyhelminthes, Trematoda, Strigeidida, Schistosomatidae. The record is from Rfam.